UACAGAGGUCCCAAGCGUUGUUCGGAUUCACUGGGCGUAAAGGGUGCGUAGGCGGCGGGGAAAGUUUGAUGUGAAAGCUCCGGGCUUAACCCGGAAAUUGCAUUGAAAACUCCCCCGCUUGAGGAUUGGUAGGGAGACUGGAAUUCUCGGUGUAGCAGUGAAAUGCGUAGAUAUCGAGAGGAACACCAGUGGCGAAGGCGAGUCUCUGGACAAUUCCUGACGCUGAGGCACGAAAGCCAGGGUAGCAAACGGGAUUAGAAACCCCCGUAGUCC
This 273-nucleotide ribosomal RNA is filed under the name uncultured bacterium. RNAcentral's name for it is "partial 16S ribosomal RNA". It matches the Rfam family "Bacterial small subunit ribosomal RNA", at positions 524 to 796 of the family's 1533-position model. The record is from RNAcentral.